AUUGAACGCUGGCGGCAUGCCUUACACAUGCAAGUCGAACGGCAGCACGGGAGUAAUCCUGGUGGCGAGUGGCGAACGGGUGAGUAAUAUAUCGGAACGUGCCCAGUCGUGGGGGAUAACGCAGCGAAAGCUGUGCUAAUACCGCAUACGAUCUAAGGAUGAAAGCGGGGGAUCGCAAGACCUCGCGCGAUUGGAGCGGCCGAUAUAUGAUUAGCUAGUUGGUGGGGUAAAGGCCCACCAAGGCGACGAUCUGUAGCGGGGCUGAGAGGACGACCAGCCACACUGGAACUGAGACACGGUCCAGACUCCUACGGGAGGCAGCAGUGGGGAAUUUUGGACAAUGGGCGCAAGCUGGAUCCAGCAAUGCCGCGUGCAGGAUGAAGGCCUUCGGGUUGUAAACUGCUUUUGUACGGAACGAAACGGCCCUUUCUAAUACAGGGGGCUAAUGACGGUACCGUAAGAAUAAGCACCGGCUAACUACGUGCCAGCCGCCGCCGUAA
Molecule: ribosomal RNA, 500 nt
Filed under: uncultured bacterium
Lineage: Bacteria
Description: partial 16S ribosomal RNA
Rfam family: Bacterial small subunit ribosomal RNA
Source: RNAcentral